AUUGAACGCUGGCGGCAGGCUUAGCACAUGCAAGUCGAGCGGGGUGAUGGUGCUUGCACUAUCACUUAGCGGCGGACGGGUGAGUAAUGCUUAGGAAUCUGCCUAUUAGUGGGGGACAACAGCCCGAAAGGGAUGCUAAUACCGCAUACGUCCUACGGGAGAAAGCAGGGGAUCACUUGUGACCUUGCGCUAAUAGAUGAGCCUACGUCGGAUUAGAUAGUUGGUGGGGUAAAGGCCUACCAAGGGGACGAUUUGGAGCGGGUCCGGGAGGAUAGUCCGCCCCACUGGGACUGAGACACGGCCCAGACUCCUACGGGAGGCAGCAGUGGGGAAUAUUGGACAAUGGGGGGAACCCUGAUCCAGCCAUGCCGCGUGUGUGAAGAAGGCCUUAUGGUUGUAAAGCACUUUAAGCGAGGAGGAGGCUCUUUUGGUUAAUACCCAAGAUGAGUGGACGUUACUCGCAGAAUAAGCACCGGCUAACUCUGUGCCAGCAGCCGCCGUAA
Molecule: ribosomal RNA, 503 nt
Filed under: uncultured bacterium
Lineage: Bacteria
Description: partial 16S ribosomal RNA
Rfam family: Bacterial small subunit ribosomal RNA
Source: RNAcentral